UGGGGAAUAUUGCACAAUGGGCGCAAGCCUGAUGCAGCCAUGCCGCGUGUAUGAAGAAGGCCUUCGGGUUGUAAAGUACUUUCAGCGGGGAGGAAGGUGUUGAGGUUAAUAACCUCAGCAAUUGACGUUACCCGCAGAAGAAGCACCGGCUAACUCCGUGCCAGCAGCCGCGGUAAUACGGAGGGGGCAAGAGUUAAUCGGAAUUACUGGGCGUAAAGCGCACGCAGGCGGUCUGUCAAGUCGGAUGUGAAAUCCCCGGGCUCAACCUGGGAACUGCAUUCGAAACUGGCAGGCUAGAGUCUUGUAGAGGGGGGUAGAAUUCCAGGUGUAGCGGUGAAAUGCGUAGAGAUCUGGAGGAAUACCGGUGGCGAAGGCGGCCCCCUGGACAAAGACUGACGCUCAGGUGCGAAAGCGUGGGGAGCAAACA
RNAcentral lists this ribosomal RNA (427 nucleotides) under uncultured bacterium. RNAcentral's name for it is "partial 16S ribosomal RNA". It matches the Rfam family "Bacterial small subunit ribosomal RNA", at positions 355 to 774 of the family's 1533-position model. The record is from RNAcentral.